RNAcentral lists this ribosomal RNA (253 nucleotides) under uncultured bacterium. RNAcentral's name for it is "partial 16S ribosomal RNA". It matches the Rfam family "Bacterial small subunit ribosomal RNA", at positions 524 to 776 of the family's 1533-position model. The record is from RNAcentral.
UACGGAGGCAGCAAGCGUUGUUCGGAAUUACUGGGCGUAAAGGGUGCGUAGGCGGUGCUCUAAGUUUGGUGUGAAAUCUCCCGGCUUAACUGGGAGGGUGCGCCGAAAACUGGAGGGCUGGAGUGCGGGAGAGGAAAGCGGAAUUCCUGGUGUAGCGGUGAAAUGCGUAGAGAUCAGGAGGAACACCUGCGGUGUAGACGGCUUUCUGGACCGUAACUGACGCUGAGGCAAGAAAGCGUGGGUAGCAAACAGG